AUGGCGGCGGCGGCGAGCUUCGGGCUGAUGGACAAGGCCUACUUCGUGGGGCGGGGCGAGAUCCUCAGCUGGGUCAAUGCCACGCUGCAGCUCUCCCUCAACAAGGUCGAGGAGGCGGCGUCGGGGGCGGUGCAGUGCCAGCUGCUGGACAUGGUUCACCCUGGGUCGGUGCCGAUGCACAAGGUGAAUUUCGAUGCCAAGACGGAGUACGACAUGAUCCAGAACUACAAGAUUCUCCAGGAUGUCUUCAACAAGCUGCGGAUAGGCAAGAAUAUUGAGGUCAACAAACUUGUUAAAGGGCGGCCAUUGGACAACUUGGAGUUUCUGCAAUGGCUGAAAAGAUAUUGUGAUUCUGUAAAUGGUGGAAUCAUGAAUGAAAACUACAAUCCUGUAGAAAGGAGGUCCAAGGGUUGCAAAGAGCGCACCCACAAGGGUCCCAACAAGUCAUCCAAAUCACUUCAAGCCAACAGAUUAUCUAGUGCUAACUCAGCAGAUGGAGGUGCCCUGAAUUCUAAUACUGAUCUUGCUUCUCCAGUUGGAAAAGUCUGUAAUGCUGUUAAUGAAGAGCAUUACAUGGAGCAGAUUCAACAAUUAUCUGAGAAGAUUGCAGAUCUGAAGGUUGCUGUGGACAACACUGAGAAAGAAAGAGAUUUCUACUUCUCAAAGCUGCGUGACAUCGAGAUAUUAUGUCAAAGACCUGAGUUGGAGCAUCUACCGAUGACCAAAGGGAUAAGGAAGAUACUCUAUGCGGCUGAUGCGAAGGAUUCAUCAUUACCUGAGGCUAAUGAAAUAAUCACCAGGUCACCAGGCAUGUUCUCAGAUGAAGCAGAGUGA
Molecule: ribosomal RNA, 834 nt
Filed under: Triticum aestivum (bread wheat)
Lineage: Eukaryota; Viridiplantae; Streptophyta; Magnoliopsida; Poales; Poaceae
Description: partial small subunit ribosomal RNA
Source: RNAcentral